GUGGUGGUUCCGGUGUGUUAGUAGUGGUCUUAGUGUGUUUGUGGUGAUAGCUAUUGUGGUCUGGUUAAUCGGAGGAAAAGGUCAAAGCCGACAUUUGAGGCAAGUAAAAAGCUGAGUUGUGGAGGACCCUUAACCGACUUUAGAAUAACAGUUAAGGGCUCAUUUGGCUAGUCCUUAAUCGUCAUUCGAAAGCCAGUUAAGGAUCCACCUUAUUUCGAAUCACGCAGGAUCCUUAAUCGAUGUUCGCUGAGUGCUUUUUUAUUUAAUGUUGAUAGGGGGAGCAUUAAACUCCUAAUUGUUGGGUCUAUCAAGGAGGAGGUUCACCGAGGAGUUACAAACACCAAUGAGGUAUGAGCCCAACCAUAUAAGGGAUUGACACCACUCUCUACCCAAAACCUUAAGGCAAUGUGUUAAUGUGUCUUUUAAUUUUAUAUAGUGCUCUACUUUCUCAUUUCUAUCCAAUGUGGGACUUAGACUCACACUUGCAUUCCCAACCAUCUCCCCCUCAAGGGUGAGUCCCUUCCACAUUGGUACACUCCUCCUCCAACGGAAGCAUUCCCAUCCAACCACAAUCACGAGUAGCCCUUCGUACCAGCAUCGGCUCUGAUACCACUAUUGGGUCUAUCAAGGAGGAGGUUCACCGAGGAGAUACAAACACCAAUGAGAUAUAAGCCCAACCAUAUAAGGGAUUGACACCACUCUCUACCCAAAACCUUAAGGCAAUGGGUCUUUCACCUUUAUAUAGUGCUCUACUUUCUCAUUUCUAUCCAAUGUGGGACUUGGGCUCGCACUUGCAUUCCCAACAAUCUCCCCCUCAAGAUAUGAGCCCAACCAUAUAAGGAAUUGAC
Molecule: long non-coding RNA, 848 nt
Filed under: Vigna radiata
Lineage: Eukaryota; Viridiplantae; Streptophyta; Magnoliopsida; Fabales; Fabaceae
Description: long non-coding RNA (VRAD_LNC010537)
Source: RNAcentral